UACAGAGGUCCCGAGCGUUGUUCGGAUUCACUGGGCGUAAAGGGUGCGUAGGUGGUCGGGUAAGUCUGAGGUGAAAUCUCCGAGCCCAACUCGGAAACUGCCUUGGAUACUAUUCGGCUAGAGGGUUGGAGGGGGGACUGGAAUUCUCGGUGUAGCAGUGAAAUGCGUAGAUAUCGGGAGGAACAUCAGUGGCGAAGGCGGCCUUCUGGUCCAGUACUGACACUCAAGUGCGAAAGCGUGGGGAGCAAACAGG
RNAcentral lists this ribosomal RNA (253 nucleotides) under uncultured bacterium. RNAcentral's name for it is "partial 16S ribosomal RNA". It matches the Rfam family "Bacterial small subunit ribosomal RNA", at positions 524 to 776 of the family's 1533-position model. The record is from RNAcentral.